Molecule: ribosomal RNA, 253 nt
Filed under: uncultured bacterium
Lineage: Bacteria
Description: partial 16S ribosomal RNA
Rfam family: Bacterial small subunit ribosomal RNA
Source: RNAcentral
UACGAAGGGGGCUAGCGUUGCUCGGAUUCACUGGGCGUAAAGGGUGCGUAGGCGGGUCUUUAAGUCAGGGGUGAAAUCCUGGAGCUCAACUCCAGAACUGCCUUUGAUACUGAAGAUCUUGAGUUCGGGAGAGGUGAGUGGAACUGCGAGUGUAGAGGUGAGAUUCGUAGAUAUUCGCAAGAACACCAGUGGCGAAGGCGGCUCACUGGCCCGAUACUGACGCUGAGGCACGAAAGCGUGGGGAGCAAACAGG